This is a non-coding RNA of Hordeum vulgare subsp. vulgare (domesticated barley), 136 nucleotides long. The record is from Rfam. Lineage: Eukaryota; Viridiplantae; Streptophyta; Magnoliopsida; Poales; Poaceae.
AUAUUACUUCCUCCGUCUUAAAAUUCUUGUCUUACAUUUGUCUAGAUAUGAAUGUAUCUAAUCACGUAUUGGUAUUUAGAUACAUUCAUUUUUAAAUAAACUUAAAAUAAGAAUUUUGAGACAAAGGGAGUACUAU